GACGUAGGGCGCGAGCGUUGUCCGGAAUUAUUGGGCGUAAAGAGCUCGUAGGCGGUCUGUCACGUCGGCUGUGAAAACCUGGGGCUCAACCCCGGGCCUGCAGCCGAUACGGGCAGACUAGAAUUCGGUAGGGGAGACUGGAAUUCCUGGUGUAGCGGUGAAAUGCGCAGAUAUCAGGAGGAACACCGGUGGCGAAGGCGGGUCUCUGGGCCGAUAUUGACGCUGAGGAGCGAAAGCGUGGGGAGCGAACAGG
This 253-nucleotide ribosomal RNA is filed under the name uncultured bacterium. Its description in RNAcentral is "partial 16S ribosomal RNA". It matches the Rfam family "Bacterial small subunit ribosomal RNA", at positions 524 to 776 of the family's 1533-position model. The record is from RNAcentral.